RNAcentral lists this ribosomal RNA (492 nucleotides) under uncultured bacterium. RNAcentral's name for it is "partial 16S ribosomal RNA". It matches the Rfam family "Bacterial small subunit ribosomal RNA", at positions 29 to 507 of the family's 1533-position model. The record is from RNAcentral.
AGUGAACGCUGGCGGUAGGCCUAACACAUGCAAGUCGAACGGCAGCACAGUAAGAGCUUGCUCUUACGGGUGGCGAGUGGCGGACGGGUGAGGAAUACAUCGGAAUCUACUUUUUCGUGGGGGAUAACGUAGGGAAACUUACGCUAAUACCGCAUACGACCUACGGGUGAAAGCAGGGGAUCUUCGGACCUUGCGCGAUUGAAUGAGCCGAUGUCGGAUUAGCUAGUUGGCGGGGUAAAGGCCCACCAAGGCGACGAUCCGUAGCUGGUCUGAGAGGAUGAUCAGCCACACUGGAACUGAGACACGGUCCAGACUACUAAGGGAGGCAGCAGUGGGGAAUAUGGGACAAUGGGCGCAAGCCUGAUCCAGCCAUACCGCGUGGGUGAAGAAGGCCUUCGGGUUGUAAAGCCCUUUUGUUGGGAAAGAAAAGCAGCAGGUUAAUACCCCGCUGUUCUGACGGUACCCAAAGAAUAAGCACCGGCUAACUUCGUG